UACGGAGGGUGCGAGCGUUGUCCGGAAUCAUUGGGCGUAAAGGGCGCGUAGGCGGCCUGCUAAGUCGAACGUGAAAUCCCUGGGCUCAACCCAGGAACUGCGUCCGAUACUGGUUGGCUUGAAUCCGGGAGAGGGAUGUGGAAUUCCAGGUGUAGCGGUGAAAUGCGUAGAUAUCUGGAGGAACACCGGUGGCGAAGGCGACAUCCUGGACCGGUAUUGACGCUGAGGCGCGAAAGCCAGGGGAGCAAACGGG
RNAcentral lists this ribosomal RNA (253 nucleotides) under uncultured bacterium. RNAcentral describes it as "partial 16S ribosomal RNA". It matches the Rfam family "Bacterial small subunit ribosomal RNA", at positions 524 to 776 of the family's 1533-position model. The record is from RNAcentral.